This 770-nucleotide long non-coding RNA is filed under the name Rattus norvegicus (Norway rat). RNAcentral describes it as "long non-coding RNA NONRATT009976". Lineage: Eukaryota; Metazoa; Chordata; Mammalia; Rodentia; Muridae. The record is from RNAcentral.
UUUCAGGUAAAUGAGUGGAGCUAGAAACAAUCAUUCCAAUUAAGCUGCAAGUGUCCUUUCUAAAGCCCAAGGGAAGGCAGACAGUGGAUAUGAAUAAAGAACUUCUAAGAAGACAGCUUGGCAGCCUCAUGAAGAACUGAGCACUCUGAACACUGAGCCCAUCGUGCUGGAGAACCAGGGCUCAUGCAAAGUGAUUAGAAUUAAUAUGUGCAAUGAACAUAAAGUCAUUGUAUGCCAUGGUGGGCAACAAGAGAGGUGGCUUUUUACUCUAUAGCCACAGCUCACACUUAUGUCUGAUAAUGUUCCUGAAAAAGUAAGUCACUUCCUGGUAAUUCUGGACAAUACAACAAGGAACAUGAUGUUCUGUCUAGUGAAUUGUGGCUUCUACUAUGAAUGUUUUUCCCAUCUCGGUUUCCUGACACAACACUGCUAUCUUGAUCAACAAUAAGGAAUUCUUUCAAUUUGAAGAGGAUCGGUGUGUGCUUGCCUCCUGCUGGUGUUCUCUCAUAGGUCUUCCAGGUUGACUUGAGGACCUUGUGUGCCUAGAACAUUUCUGCCCAAGGCAUUUGGAAGGUCAGCAUAGAAAUACUAUUAUCUUCAUUUAUAGCUUCUGAUGAUAACCCAGGCUCUGGAGAACAACUGUAGCCUCCUGAAAACUAUCUCAACUUGAAGACCAAUGGACCAAGACACCUAUAGCUUAGGAGCUGUUUCAUUGUGUGGUGCUAUGGGCAACAGCAACUGUCAUUAAUUGCUACUUGAAGCUAAAGACU